UACGUAGGGUGCGAGCGUUGUCCGGAAUUAUUGGGCGUAAAGAGCUCGUAGGUGGUUUGUCGCGUUGUUCGUGAAAACUCACAACUCAAUUGUGGGCGUGCGGGCGAUACGGGCAGACUGGAGUACUGCAGGGGAGACUGGAAUUCCUGGUGUAGCGGUGGAAUGCGCAGAUAUCAGGAGGAACACCGGUGGCGAAGGCGGGUCUCUGGGCAGUAACUGACGCUGAGGAGCGAAAGCGUGGGGAGCGAACAGG
This 253-nucleotide ribosomal RNA is filed under the name uncultured bacterium. RNAcentral's name for it is "partial 16S ribosomal RNA". It matches the Rfam family "Bacterial small subunit ribosomal RNA", at positions 524 to 776 of the family's 1533-position model. The record is from RNAcentral.